Molecule: long non-coding RNA, 2477 nt
Organism: Cyprinus carpio carpio
Lineage: Eukaryota; Metazoa; Chordata; Actinopteri; Cypriniformes; Cyprinidae
Source: Ensembl
AUCCCUCCAAAAACUUAAAGAUAUUUAUGAAUUAAUAAUUCAUUGUAUUUUUUAAACCUUUUUAAAAUGACAAAACCAAACAAUGAAUAAACAGAUAAAUUUAAUAAAUAAAGUUUUAAAAAUAUAUAUUUUUAUUUUUACUUCAUGAUUACCACAUGAGUUUUUUAUUUAUUUAUUUUUAUUUUAUAUAUUUAUUUAUUUUAUUUUUUGCUGCAGAAAAUUACACAGAGGUUUUUGUUUUUAAAACCAUACAAAACCUACUUGAAAAUAAACAUACUGGCACAUGCAUUUUAAACUUUUUGUCCCAUUUAUUGACCCACUUUUGAAAUGUGGUGAUAUUUAAUGCUAAAAACUCAUAUUAGAAUGACACGUCACAUUUUACGGCUUAUUGAGGAAAGGUGCAUUAUUACUUUUCUAACCUGUCUGAUUUUUUAAGAUGAUAAAAUGGGUUAAAAAAAAUCCCCAUAUCUAGCCAUAUAAAAAAGAAUAUCAUAGACACUUGGGUGUGUUUUUAUGUUUCUUUUUUUUCACUCGGCCAGUAAGCAAGCAACUAGAAUCCACCCAGAACAUUCUAGCAACUGCAUAGCAACACCUUGGCAACCAUCCUAUGGCAACACCCUCAUGGACGCCCUGUGCACGGGCAAGCAAGCUUUGUGAUAUUUGUGAAAUCCCCAUACACUGACUCUUUUGUGAUCCACUGCACUGUAUUCAGGUGAUGAACUGAGCUCUGAGGCAGAGCGUGUAACAAAUCCUCUGUCAGUGUAUUCUUCUAACACAACAGGAUAUGAUGUUACUCUAUGUCCAGAGCUCUUAUUACUCUUUGUGCGCAGGAUUAAGAUCGGCACAAUGACUACAUAAAAGCACAGAUAAGACGAGUUUGUGAAGGCAAAAGUGCUCAGGUUACACAUUACACACAUGAUUAGGCUUCAGGCUCCUGCUAGUUUUUCGUCAUACUCUGGACUACAAGUGUACUACAGUAAAACCAACUAGAUUUUCAGCUUUCUGAAGGUUUUAAGGUGUUUUGGUUGGUUCCCAGGGUGUUAUGAAGUUCUGAGUGGUUUAUAAGGCAAUAAUUGAUGGUUGCUUACUGGUCCAAGUGCUGGUCUCAAGAUAUGGCUUGGGUCUCUUCUUCAACAUAAUUCAAUUGGAUUUCUUCACAAGUUUUAUCAUAUGCCAGACACAAAUUGUACAUUUCAUCACUUAGAACCUAAUAGCACACUUUUCGUCAACAAGCGUAUAGAUAUUGUAUCAUAUAUCUGUUGCAUAAAUGGUGCAGGAUGAGUUGCACACCAAAGUUUAUUACUUAAGGUUAGGGCUUUGUUUAAAUUUCUACCUUUAACCUUCAGAGUGAGAAACGCAGAGUAGCAGAGAGCAGCAAUGCUUGGCAUCCAGCAGACAAAAGGGUGGGACUGGCAGGAAAAACAGCGAUGAGUAAAGCUCAUGUUCUCCUUUAUGAGCCCCUCAUCUAACGACCGCACUCGAUUACAGCAAGGCUCAUAGUUGAGGAACUUUUUACAGGAUUACUGCCAGUUUCCUCCAGCACACACACACACACACACACACACACACACACACACACUGCUGGAUGCUGGAGCGUCUCUGUGAAAGCGGAGUGGGCUGAGGCUAUAAUGAACGGUAUGAAGGGAUGAUGUUGAAGACUGGCUGAGCUCGUCAGGGGUAAACAGUGGGGAGUUUCCUUCAGAUUCUACGAUCUGCUCUUCUGGUUUGUCUCUGUUAGGCAGUCCGUUCUGCUUUGAUCCCAGAGAAGCUAAAAGAGGCUAUAAAAAGCCCAAAAACCUCGGCGGACUCCACGACUGUCCUGCUGGCAUGGAUAUUCCAGAAGAGUGAGGAACAUUAAGACUGGAGAAUUACUGGAGAGUUUGUGAGGCUUAUGGAUUCCACGUCACGCCAGACUGCACUUUAUUUUGAAAGAAUUUGAUGCAGUCUGGUCGACCCGUCCUUGUUUAAUGUGGCAUCAACCCUUUACACUUCCUCCCCCACAUAUUUUAAAGCAAAUUACUUAAUUUAGAGAUAUAAGAAACAUCUGAUAGAGAGAAAAGCCAAAUGGAGGACAUCAUAGGAAAUGGAUUUUCAUAAAACAUCCUUUAAAGGCAUUUUAAAAUUUUCACAUGAUUACACAAGACUAAUGAUUUCUGAAAAUGAUUUAAUCAUGUUCGCACUACUUGGGUGGAAACUAAAUGCAUAAAUAAAGGGUUGCAUGCUAAACUGUGAAACCUGAUCAGCCCACAUGACUGUGAUUCAAAAUGCAUGCACUGCUACACUUAUUACAAAACAGCCAUGUUUUUCCUGACAUGUACCAUGGUAAUAUUUUGGUAUUCUGUAAAGUACCUCAGAGUACCAUGCAAAUAUUUUUUUAUGCUAUGUCAGUAUGGUGUUACCAUCAGAGAACAUCAUUAUCCUCUGUUACAGUUUUUUUAUAUAUUAGAUAUACUACUUCAGAUAACAAUCUUUUCCUC